GCAUUAUUUUGCAAUUAUUUGCUUUUUCCAACUUUUGUAUUGAUUAUUUGUUGCAUGCUUCGAGCACAUGUUUUGUGCUGUUCUCAGAUUUAUUUCCAUAUUUAUUUAUUUCAUCGAGUUUCAUCUUUUAAGUAUUAACGAAAUCCAACAUAUGCCUCUGUGAGAUGUUAUAAUCAUGGGAGGAAUUGAUCUCUUUAAGAAACUGCAUAGAUAUGCUACUAUUGCUUAUUGUUGUCAAUAGUUUUUGAAUGUAGAAUUAAUUGUUUAGCAUAGAGUCAUGCUACUUCCACAGGAAGAGAGGUGGCCAAUUACAUUAACAAAACAAUUGGCUGUGUAUGUUUAAUUUUGUUAAGGGUUACAAUAUUCAAUGAAUUUUGAUAGGGAUAUCAAACCUUAAACUGCAAAGGAAUAAGAGGAUAUUUGUCUGAAACAUUAUAAUUGAUGCUUUGAUAAUUUUGGAGAGGAUCUUAUUGAGCUAGUAGUUUAUGAUCUAGUGUCUAUCUCAUAGUGUAACAGAUUAGGCAUUUAAACUAACUUCAUCUCCUUUAAAAUACAUUUUUUAAGACCAACUGCUUGUCAUGAAAUAUCUUAUUAUAUUACUUCUUUUCUAUAUGUCUUCUACUUUUUCUAAUGGCACUGAGUGGUCGUGUUUCUUGAAACUACUAACAUACGUCUAAUGCAUAGAAAUGUUUUGCCUGACAUGUUCAUGUUCUUUUGGUUAUUUCCAUGCA
RNAcentral lists this unclassified non-coding RNA (731 nucleotides) under Hevea brasiliensis (rubber tree). Lineage: Eukaryota; Viridiplantae; Streptophyta; Magnoliopsida; Malpighiales; Euphorbiaceae. The record is from RNAcentral.